This 253-nucleotide ribosomal RNA is filed under the name uncultured bacterium. RNAcentral's name for it is "partial 16S ribosomal RNA". It matches the Rfam family "Bacterial small subunit ribosomal RNA", at positions 524 to 776 of the family's 1533-position model. The record is from RNAcentral.
UACGUAGGCAGCAAGCGUUGUUCGGAAUUACUGGGCGUAAAGAGUGUGUAGGCGGUGCUCUAAGUUCGGUGUGAAAUCUCCCGGCUUAACUGGGAGGGUGCGCCGGAAACUGGAGUGCUCGAGCGUGGGAGAGGAAAGCGGAAUUCCUGGUGUAGCGGUGAAAUGCGUAGAUAUCAGGAGGAACACCUGCGGUGUAGACGGCUUUCUGGACCAUUGCUGACGCUGAGACACGAAAGCGUGGGUAGCAAACAGG